AUUGAACGCUGGCGGCAUGCCUUACACAUGCAAGUCGAACGGCAGCAUGAUCUAGCUUGCUAGAUUGAUGGCGAGUGGCGAACGGGUGAGUAAUACAUCGGAACGUGCCCUGUAGUGGGGGAUAACUAGUCGAAAGAUUAGCUAAUACCGCAUACGACCUGAGGGUGAAAGUGGGGGACCGCAAGGCCUCAUGCUAUAGGAGCGGCCGAUGUCUGAUUAGCUAGUUGGUGAGGUAAAGGCUCACCAAGGCGACGAUCAGUAGCUGGUCUGAGAGGACGAUCAGCCACACUGGGACUGAGACACGGCCCAGACUCCUACGGGAGGCCGCAGUGGGGAAUUUUGGACAAUGGGCGAAAGCCUGAUCCAGCAAUGCCGCGUGUGUGAAGACGGCCUUCGGGUUGUAAAGCACUUUUGUCCGGAAAGAAAUGGCUCUGGUUAAUACCUGGGGUCGAUGACGGUACCGGAAGAAUAAGGACCGGCUAACUACGUG
Molecule: ribosomal RNA, 490 nt
Filed under: uncultured bacterium
Lineage: Bacteria
Description: partial 16S ribosomal RNA
Rfam family: Bacterial small subunit ribosomal RNA
Source: RNAcentral